Long non-coding RNA from Melozone crissalis (California towhee), 611 nucleotides. RefSeq lists it as uncharacterized. The record is from RefSeq and is a predicted model, not a curated record. The transcript has 3 exons. Lineage: Eukaryota; Metazoa; Chordata; Aves; Passeriformes; Passerellidae.
ACAGCUAGAUUGCUCCCAUCCUGUUCCAGCCACUGGAAGCCAAAGGAGCUCUGUGACUCAUCGAAAUUCCUCAUGCUUGUGUCUUGUCUCAGCAGAGAAGCACCAGCAGCUCUAACUCCCUAAUUCUUGAGGCAGGACAGAACUUGUUGGAGAAGUACAGCCUGUCUCCUCUCCAGGAAACCCCUCCUCGCUUCCUCUCUUGAUGCUGAGAUAAAAAGCUGCUGGCAAAGAAGCAGAGCCAAACAAGGUUCUGGCAUGGAAAAUGGCUCUCAUAGCACUGCCAGAACAAGGGAAUGCUGGAAAGAAGAUUCCUGGAGAGGGCUGAACUUCACUUUGCACCAUGCAAGCAGCACAAUGUGAGGCUGAAGAUGAACAGAUCCUGUCUUAAAACUGCUUGGAGAUCGUAGAUGGAGUAACAUAGAAAUGCUUGAAUUUUAUCUAUAAGAAUGGAGUAAAAUGUAUUUACUGUAUUUGCAAAGUGAGGAGCAGUUCAGUGGAGCUUCAGUAUUAAGUAUCAUUUACACCUGCUUUCUGGCUUGUUACAGUGUCAGUCUAAGCAAAAUUCAAGUGUAUAUUGUCUUCUUCACACAGAUACAGGCAAAAAUUCUAGC